GCUGGGCAUGGUGAGGCAUGCCUGUAAUCCCAGUGACUUGGGAGGCUGAGGCAAGAGGAUUGCAAAUUUGAGGCCAGCUCCUGCAACUUAACAAGACACUGUCUCUA
RNAcentral lists this small RNA (107 nucleotides) under Marmota monax (woodchuck). Lineage: Eukaryota; Metazoa; Chordata; Mammalia; Rodentia; Sciuridae. The record is from RNAcentral.